Long non-coding RNA from Spea bombifrons (plains spadefoot toad), 782 nucleotides. RefSeq lists it as uncharacterized. Lineage: Eukaryota; Metazoa; Chordata; Amphibia; Anura; Pelobatidae. The record is from RefSeq and is a predicted model, not a curated record. The transcript has 6 exons.
GGAGAGCUUUUCUUUGCAAGCCUGCACUAGCAAACAAGGUUACAGUGACAGCUCAUACUUCUAAAAGCUCCUCCUUCUCCAUAUGUAGGCUUUAAACUUUUGGGAAGGUCUUGUGGGAGCAUCUCACACUAAGUGAAACGUGGCACUUACAGACCCUUGCCUUGGCUUCAUGCAGUAUGUCAGAAGUUCAACGGUUUUCCAUGGACAAAACUACGAUUCAUGAACAUACCUCAUCAUGAAGAAGAAAAUAUUUGGUCUGGCAAUGGGUGAAAUUACCAUUUAUGAAGGUUGAUUGUACAUAAGACAACAUUUUGUUGGUCUGGCAAUGGGUGAAAUUACCAUUUAUGAAGGUUGAUUGUACAUAAGACAACAUUUUGGUGGACUGUCCAAGAACGAGGCUACCAUUAAUGAAGACACUGAUCUCCCAGGUGAUUCAGGGGUGACUGGGCUCAAGAAACAUGUUUCCAUCUUGUUGCACUUCUGUAUUCUUCGUUCUACAGAAGAAAUUCUUUAACCUCUUUUAUAAAUAUUGGCAAAUAUUGUCAUGGUAACUGCACAAUGCAUGAUCUAAUAACUUUAAAAAAAAAACAAACUCGUUUUGAAUUAGUAUAUUAAAGUGUAGAACAUAUUUGCAGCAUACAUAUGGUGGACUCAAUGAGAUAUUAGAUAUAUAUACAUGAUAAAUAGAUUGGAGCACAAAAUAACAAAUUUGCAGAUGUGCAAAGUACAUAACACAGUAUUACAACAGCACUGCAAUAUAUUUGGGAAACAAAAAAGCAAAA